AGAGUUUGAUCCUGGCUCAGGACGAACGCUGGCGGUGUGCUUCACACAUGCAAGUCGAACGGAGUAGCAAUACUCAGUGGCGGACGGGUGAGUAACACGUGGGAAUCUACCAUUAGGUGGGGAAUAACAGGCCGAAAGGACUGCUAAUGCCGCAUAUGUAGGCAUCUCGACAGAGAUGUUUAUGAAAGGAGUAAUCCGCCUUUUGAUGAGCCCGCGUCCGAUUAGCUAGUUGGUAGGGUAAAAGCCUACCAAGGCGACGAUCGGUAGGUGGUCUGAGAGGAUGAUCACCCACAAUGGGACUGAGACACGGCCCAUACUCCUACGGGAGGCAGCAGUGGGGAAUUUUACGCAAUGGGGGAAACCCUGACGUAGCGACACCGCGUGAGCGAAGAAGCCCUUUGGGGUGUAAAGCUCUGUCAACAGGAACGAAACAAAUGACGGUACCUGUGGAGGAAGCAUCGGCUAACUACGUGCCAGCAGCCGCGGUAAGACGUAGGAUGCAAGCGUUGUCCGGAUUUAUUGGGCGUAAAGAGUUCGUAGGCGGUUUGUUAAGUCUGAUGUUAAAGACCGGGGCUCAACCUCGGAACUGCAUUGGAUACUGGCAGACUAGAGUAUGGUAGAGGCAAGCGGAAUUCCCAGUGUAGCGGUGAAAUGCGUAGA
Molecule: ribosomal RNA, 660 nt
Filed under: uncultured bacterium
Lineage: Bacteria
Description: bacterial SSU rRNA
Rfam family: Bacterial small subunit ribosomal RNA
Source: RNAcentral